GAUGAACGCUGGCGGCGUGCCUAAUACAUGCAAGUCGAGCGAACAGACGAGGAGCUUGCUCCUCUGACGUUAGCGGCGGACGGGUGAGUAACACGUGGAUAACCUACCUAUAAGACUGGGAUAACUUCGGGAAACCGGAGCUAAUACCGGAUAAUAUAUUGAACCGCAUGGUUCAAUAGUGAAAGACGGUUUUGCUGUCACUUAUAGAUGGAUCCGCGCCGCAUUAGCUAGUUUGUAAGGUAACGGCUUACCAAGGCAACGAUGCGUAGCCGACCUGAGAGGGUGAUAGGCCACACUGGAACUGAGACACGGUCCAGACUCCUACGGGAGGCAGCAGUAGGGAAUCUUCCGCAAUGGGCGAAAGCCUGACGGAGCAACGCCGCGUGAGUGAUGAAGGUCUUCGGAUCGUAAAACUCUGUUAUUAGGGAAGAACAAAUGUGUAAGUAACUAUGCACGUCUUGACGGUACCUAAUCAGAAAGCCACGGCUAACUACGUG
Molecule: ribosomal RNA, 497 nt
Filed under: uncultured bacterium
Lineage: Bacteria
Description: partial 16S ribosomal RNA
Rfam family: Bacterial small subunit ribosomal RNA
Source: RNAcentral